Molecule: long non-coding RNA, 556 nt
Organism: Microcebus murinus (gray mouse lemur)
Lineage: Eukaryota; Metazoa; Chordata; Mammalia; Primates; Cheirogaleidae
Source: RefSeq, a predicted model, not a curated record
UGUAGGUGGGCCCCACCUAGCAAUGACCUAGCCUGGGAUAUUUUGGAUAGCUCCAGUUUUCUCAUGAAAUGAGGCUGUUUUCUUUUUCUUAAUCUAGAGCCACAGUAGGAAAUACUUACAGUUUCUGGGUGAUACACUCCAACUGAGGAGCUCAGAAUGACAGUGCUUCCCCUGGGAAGAGAAAGAAGGUACAUACAGAUGAGCCACAUAAGAAGCCAGGAUGUGGACAGAAGUGGAAACUGCAGACCAUGAAAGUGAAUAAGAGGAGCUCAGGUUGACAUAAAUGGUGUCAGAAUUGGGAUGUGAAGAAAGAUCACGAUCAAAAGGAAUCAGUGGUUCUUGGAACCAGUGUGCAGUACCCCAGCGUGCAGCCCAGUCCGUGAGCCGUGGGAGCUCUCCACUUCCAAGACUCGCCUUUUCUGCCCUGAUUUAAGAAAAUUUUCUCUCUUGAACUAUCUAUGGUUUCCAGCAAUUUGGUAAAGUAUACUUUUGUGAACAAAGACGGAUAUAUUUGCUUUUUCUCCCUACUAGAUUCCUCCAAAAUUUAGAAACUAUC